This 253-nucleotide ribosomal RNA is filed under the name uncultured bacterium. RNAcentral's name for it is "partial 16S ribosomal RNA". It matches the Rfam family "Bacterial small subunit ribosomal RNA", at positions 524 to 776 of the family's 1533-position model. The record is from RNAcentral.
UACGAAGGGGGCUAGCGUUGCUCGGAAUCACUGGGCGUAAAGGGUGCGUAGGCGGGUCUUUAAGUCAGGGGUGAAAUCCUGGAGCUCAACUCCAGAACUGCCUUUGAUACUGAGGAUCUUGAGUUCGGGAGAGGUGAGUGGAACUGCGAGUGUAGAGGUGAAAUUCGUAGAUAUUCGCAAGAACACCAGUGGCGAAGGCGGCUCACUGGCCCGAUACUGACGCUGAGAGACGAAAGCUAGGGGAGCGAAUGGG